This 75-nucleotide transfer RNA is filed under the name Alphaproteobacteria bacterium. Its description in RNAcentral is "tRNA-Lys". It matches the Rfam family "tRNA". From Rfam's summary of the family: Transfer RNA (tRNA) molecules are approximately 80 nucleotides in length. Their secondary structure includes four short double-helical elements and three loops (D, anti-codon, and T loops). The record is from RNAcentral. Lineage: Bacteria; Pseudomonadati; Pseudomonadota; Alphaproteobacteria.
GGGCGCGUAGCUCAGCGGUAGAGCAUCUGACUUUUAAUCAGAGGGUCGCGGGUUCGAACCCCGCCGCGCUCACCA